RNAcentral lists this ribosomal RNA (460 nucleotides) under uncultured bacterium. Its description in RNAcentral is "partial 16S ribosomal RNA". It matches the Rfam family "Bacterial small subunit ribosomal RNA", at positions 338 to 795 of the family's 1533-position model. The record is from RNAcentral.
CCUACGGGAGGCUGCAGUGAGGAAUAUUGGUCAAUGGACGAGAGUCUGACCCAGCCAAGUAGCGUGAAGGAUGACUGCCCUAUGGGUUGUAAACUUCUUUUAUAUGGGAAUAAAACGUUCCACGUGUGGGAUUUUGUAUGUACCAUAUGAAUAAGGAUCGGCUAACUCCGUGCCAGCAGCCGCGGUAAUACGGAGGAUCCGAGCGUUAUCCGGAUUUAUUGGGUUUAAAGGGUGCGUAGGUGGAUUGUUAAGUCAGUUGUGAAAGUUUGCGGCUCAACCGUAAAAUUGCAGUUGUAACUGGCAGUCUUGAGUACAGUAGAGGUGGGUGGAAUUCGUGGUGUAGCGGUGAAAUGCUUAGAGAUCACGAAGAACUCUGAUGGCGAAGGCAGUUCACUGGACUGCAACUGACACUGAGGCUCGAAAGUGUGGGUAUCAAACAGGAUUAGAUACCCUUGUAGUC